CCUGAGUUUGGGACAGCCAGAUAGAAGUUCUGGGAUACUUGUCCUGUCCUCCAUUUCUUCCUGACUUCUAGUCUGCUUUGCUUCUGGAGGAUCCAUCAAUUCCUUUUGGCCUGGCUUCACUGGGAUAAAAGCUAAAUGAACUGGAGUUCCAGGAACCAUUGCCUCCCAGAGCAACCUGACCUGUAGCAGUCUGGUAAGCUUGCUGUCUCGGUAGGGAACACGGGGCAGGCCUUGGUUCAAUGCAUCUACCACCUUGCCCAACACAAAGAGGGAGGCAUUGAUGGCGCCACUCUCCUUUAGCCGCAAGCCCUGGUUGCCUGUACGCCGAUUGUCCUCUGAACCAGCCAAGUCAAUCAGAUAGAGCUUCCCCUCCCGUUGCCGGAAUGGGGCAAUUCGCUCCCGCUGUUCCACCUGUGUGUGAGAAGUUACUGAGUGAACGAAAAAUCAGAGGCCCAAUUUUGGUAACUUUUUUUCUGCCUCUACUUCUUAUCACCUAUCCCAAAUCCAGAUCCAAAAUACUCCAACCCUCAAUAUGCUGACAACAAACCCACUUUAACCAGGAGCACAGCAUGGCUUCGGGAGGACCGUUGGUUGAGCCGGGUAGCUCCCACAGUCCGAUUUCUGCUGGCUGGCAGGAAAUGUUGUUCAAAGUCAGUGAAGGAAGCAAUGGGUUUUUGGGUGAGUCCAGGGAUCAGGAUGUUCCCCCAUCGGUCUUCUCUGAUCACUAGGUCUCCUGAAGCAGGGGCAAGGAGGUCCAAUACCUGGGAAAGACAGAAACAAGGUAGAAUUCCUUAUGUAUAGCAUCCUGACCUUCUAUAGCUGGGCCUCACUACUAUUCUCACUUUCUCUCCUUAAAUAAGAUCUAAGUUUUCUAUUCAACCAAGUCCUCUCCUUAAGAGACUUUUUUUCUUGACUUUUCCCACCUAUCCCAAAGAUUUAGGUUUCCAAUUCCUAUCUCAAUCUCUCCUAACUUAAGAGGAGCCUUACCUUCUCUUGAUAGAUUUCCAAAUAGGACAUGGAGACAGCAAAGGCCCAGGGUCGCCCUUCUGCACCCUCCUCCCAAGUGAGCUGCAAGAGGUCUUUAAGGGCCCGAGGGAUAAUGCCAGGCUGCUCUGGGCUGCCUAGCAUUGUGUAUGUUUUCCCUGUGGGAAGAAGACAAGAGGAAACAGUAAAAUUACUGGCUUUCACAUUGAACAAAGUAAUAGCAAUAUUGUAAGAUGAUCAACUAUGAAUGACAGCUAUUCUCUGCAAUACAGUGAUCUAAGACAAUUCGAAAGAACUUGAGACAAAAAAAAAGCUCCCCAUUUUCAGAGGAAGAAUUGAUGGAUUCUGAAUGCAGAAUGAAGCAUAUUUUUAUCCCCCAUUUUAAAAAAAAUGAAGCUUCUUCCACAACAUGACUAAUACUGAAAUAUGCUUUUCAUGGUUACACAUGUAUAACCUAUAUCAAAUUGCUUUACUGUCUUAGGGAGGGGAUGGGAAAGGAGGGAGAGGAUUUGGAACUCAGAAUUUUAGAAAACAAACAUUAAAAAUUGUUUUUAUUUGUAACUGGGAAAAAAACCAAAAUAUUUUCUAAAA
Long non-coding RNA from Monodelphis domestica (gray short-tailed opossum), 1575 nucleotides. RefSeq lists it as uncharacterized. The record is from RefSeq and is a predicted model, not a curated record. Lineage: Eukaryota; Metazoa; Chordata; Mammalia; Didelphimorphia; Didelphidae.